Molecule: ribosomal RNA, 1140 nt
Filed under: Flagellimonas sp. CMM7
Lineage: Bacteria; Pseudomonadati; Bacteroidota; Flavobacteriia; Flavobacteriales; Flavobacteriaceae
Description: bacterial SSU rRNA
Rfam family: Bacterial small subunit ribosomal RNA
Source: RNAcentral
AACGGCCCACCAAGGCAACGAUGGUUAGGGGCCCUGAGAGGGGGAUCCCCCACACUGGUACUGAGACACGGACCAGACUCCUACGGGAGGCAGCAGUGAGGAAUAUUGGACAAUGGGCGGGAGCCUGAUCCAGCCAUGCCGCGUGCAGGAUGACUGCCCUAUGGGUUGUAAACUGCUUUUAUACGGGAAGAAACGCGCCUACGUGUAGGCGUUUGACGGUACCGUAAGAAUAAGGACCGGCUAACUCCGUGCCAGCAGCCGCGGUAAUACGGAGGGUCCGAGCGUUAUCCGGAAUCAUUGGGUUUAAAGGGUCCGUAGGCGGGCCAUUAAGUCAGGGGUGAAAGUCUGCAGCUCAACUGUAGAAUUGCCUUUGAUACUGGUGGUCUUGAGUCGUUGUGGAGUGGCCGGAACAUGUGGUGUAGCGGUGAAAUGCAUAGAUAUCACAUAGAACACCGAUCGCGAAGGCAGGUCACUAACAACGUACUGACGCUGAUGGACGAAAGCGUGGGUAGCGAACGGGAUUAGAUACCCCGGUAGUCCACGCCGUAAACGAUGGAUACUAGCUGUCGGGACUUCGGUCUCGGCGGCCAAGCGAAAGUGAUAAGUAUCCCACCUGGGGAGUACGUUCGCAAGAAUGAAACUCAAAGGAAUUGACGGGGGCCCGCACAAGCGGUGGAGCAUGUGGUUUAAUUCGAUGAUACGCGAGGAACCUUACCAGGGCUUAAAUGUAGUAUGACAGGUUUAGAGAUAGACUUUUCUUCGGACAUAUUACAAGGUGCUGCAUGGUUGUCGUCAGCUCGUGCCGUGAGGUGUCAGGUUAAGUCCUAUAACGAGCGCAACCCCUACCGUUAGUUGCCAGCGAGUGAAGUCGGGGACUCUAACGGGACUGCCGGUGCAAACCGUGAGGAAGGUGGGGACGACGUCAAAUCAUCACGGCCCUUACGUCCUGGGCCACACACGUGCUACAAUGGCCGGUACAGAGGGAAGCCACCCCGCAAGGGGGCGCGGAUCUACAAAGCCGGUCACAGUUCGGAUCGGGGUCUGCAACUCGACCCCGUGAAGCUGGAAUCGCUAGUAAUCGGAUAUCAGCCAUGAUCCGGUGAAUACGUUCCCGGGCCUUGUACACACCGCCCGUCAAGC